UUUUGUAAAAAAUAAUAUUUAUAAAGUGAUAAAUUAUAUUACCUUUUGUAUCAUGGUGAUAUAAAGAAAGAAAUAGGCUGAACCCGGCAUUUUUAGAGAGAAGUUAUAAUUGUUUUGUCGUAUCAAAGAUUAUUAAUUUUAACAUAGUAACGAAAGAUUAGGCGGUAAGGAUGUUAUCUGGAUUUUAUUUAAAAAGAUGUUUAAAAGAGUUAAAUAUUUUUCUCCAAAAAUUUGUAUUAUUGUAGAAACAUUUUGGGCUUUAAAAUGGCUAAAAUUAGAGUGUGUUAUUAUUUAAAUUAAUGGAAUAGAAUUGUUGUUUAUUUGUAAUGAAAAAUUAUUAGUUUUAAAAAAAUUAGUAUUAUGUAUCAAUAAGUAGAAUUAUAAGAUUAUAGAGAGAACUCAAAUAUAUUACUAAAUGUUUAACAAAAACAUUGUUUUAUUAAUAUAAGAUAGGGCCUGCCCACUGAAAAUUUAAUGGCUGCGGUAUAUUAACUGUGCUAAGGUAGCAUAAUAAUUUGUCUUUUAAUUGAGGGCUUGUAUGAAAGGUUUUAUAGUAAUAUGCUUUUUGUAUAGUUUACUUGAAUUUAGAGUCUGGGUAAAAAUACCUAGAUUUUUAAAAAAGACGAUAAGACCCUAAAAGCUUUAUUUUUUGUUUUUAUUUAAAAAUUUUAUAUAAUUUUUUAUAAAUUAAAAGAUUUUUGGCUGGGGUAGCAAUUUUAUUUUGAUCAAACAAAAUACAACUUUUGAGGGAGAGUGAACCUUAAUAUUAUGGUAAUUGUCUGAGUUACUUUAGGGAUAACAGCACAAUAAUUUUGGAGAGACCUUAUCAAUAAAAGAGUUUGUGACCUCGAUGUUGAAUUAAAAUGUCCAAUUAAAGCAGUAUUUAAAUUGGGAAGGUUUGUUCAACCUUUAAACGAUUACAUGAUUUGAGUUCAAACCGGUUUAAGCCAGGUUGGUUUCUAUCUUUUUAUAUAAAAAUUAUUUUUGUAGUACGAGAGGACCUAAGAAUAUUUUA
RNAcentral lists this ribosomal RNA (1015 nucleotides) under Grandidierella osakaensis. RNAcentral's name for it is "large ribosomal RNA". The stretch from base 795 to 954 matches the Rfam family "Archaeal large subunit ribosomal RNA", at positions 2544 to 2703 of the family's 2987-position model. The record is from RNAcentral. Lineage: Eukaryota; Metazoa; Arthropoda; Malacostraca; Amphipoda; Corophiidae.